UUUCCGAACGAGCACAUAUACUAAAAUUGGAACGAUACAGAGAAGAUUAGCAUGGCCCCUGCGCAAGGGUGACACGCAAAUUCGUGAAGAUGGCAGCGUGCUA
This is a small nuclear RNA of Physeter macrocephalus (sperm whale), 103 nucleotides long. Lineage: Eukaryota; Metazoa; Chordata; Mammalia; Artiodactyla; Physeteridae. The record is from Ensembl.